GUCUGCGGCCACACCACCCUGAACGCGCCCAGUCUCAUCUGAUCUCGGAAACUAAGCACGGUCAGGCCUGGUUAGUACUCGGAUGGGAGAACUCAGGCUCACAGAGC
Cercocebus atys (sooty mangabey) is the source of this 107-nucleotide ribosomal RNA. The record is from Ensembl. Lineage: Eukaryota; Metazoa; Chordata; Mammalia; Primates; Cercopithecidae.